This 7107-nucleotide long non-coding RNA is filed under the name Lactuca sativa (garden lettuce). Its description in RNAcentral is "long non-coding RNA (LSAT_LNC008768)". The record is from RNAcentral. Lineage: Eukaryota; Viridiplantae; Streptophyta; Magnoliopsida; Asterales; Asteraceae.
UCUCGCUCAUGAGUUUCAAAGGCGGUGAUUUCGGCGGGAGUAGCAAUUUCGGGGUUGAUUUUCUCGAGCUUCUCAUCGAGGACAUACUCCUUAUCCUCAUAGCGAGCAAUGGUGCGAAUGUAUCUUAUCCAUUCGCUAAAGUUCGUUCCAUCGAAGGUGACCUUUUGGCAAAGGCUCAUCAACGUGAAAGAACUAGCAGCAGCGUUGUUUGCGUUCGACAUCUACAAUUAGAAAAGGACAAAGAUAGAUUAGAAUAAGAAUCCCUAAUUAUCACCCAAUAAGAAAAUUAGGGCUAGGAUCCAACAAUAACAUUUACAUACUAGAAAAGGGAUGCCGUAAUCUAACAUGCAAAUAAAUUGAAGGUAAGUGAAUGACGAUUCACUAAUUCUCCAUCACAAAACUUAAACUAUUAGUCCUAAGUGUUUUUGAGAAUUCCUAGGUUCGGAUGAGAUUCAUUGAAACUAUUCAAUGGCAUGUUUAAAUCUCGAUAUGCCCCUCUUGUUUGUGACUGGGAUGCCGAGGAUCACAAAGCGGGUGUGAAUUACCAUGCAAAUUCACAUGGUGCCUUCAUUGUAACAAUCACCUAUUCGAUGUGCCGGUAAACCACACACGCUCCAUCGAACUAUGAUAAACAAUGAAUCACCCUUUGCCACCUUCGCUUAGAACCAAUUAGUGUGCCGGUAAACCACACACGCUCCACUAACAUCUUAGCAAGGUGCAAAGUGUAAUUUCAUGGGAUUGCAUCAAUUCACUUUUCCUAAAGUAACUAGGAUUGGGAAAUUUUAAAAAAAUGUGUAGUUACUUUAUAUUUCUUAUUAUACUUUUAAUGAGAGGAUGAGGUUGCCCUAUCCUACCCGUUCGGCUAACGACCCUCCACCAAUCAAGCAAGCGGUGGGUGUGAGUGUACACCCAUUAAGCGCCAUUUUAUAGGCCGCAACCUUAUACCCACCUUAUAGAUCGGCUUCGUGAAUGAGGCCUACUAACGGUAAGACUAGCAUUUAGUUAUACAUAUAUAUAUUAUUCUAGUAAUAUCAUAUUAGUAUAGGGUUGUAUUUUAAAACUUUUAAAAUCUAGGGUUUGAAAUUUAAGUUGUCUAAAUUAAAACUUUUAAUCACAAAAGUAAAUUUCAAAACAUGAGGGUAGGUUUUAAACAUUUAAAACAUGGAGGAUCAAAUAACAAAUAAUUCCAAUUAACAAUUAAUAUCCUAAUUAUCUAUAUUUGAUUUAUUCAAGAUUUCUUUUAAAGAUAAUUACCAAAAUAAUCAAAAUAAUUAAUUAAUUAUCAUAUAAGGAAAUUAAAUAUUUAAUUAGUUGAUAAUUACCUUUAACUAGAUCAAGAUAAUAGUUAUAUUUAUCAGAAAAACGAAUUAAUGUUGAUCUAAUUAGUUUAUGGUAAGUUAAGAUAAGAUAAACACAAAGAAAUCCCGAAUCUGGCCAUUCCUGACGCCUGGACUCGCCGAGUGCACAAAUGGACUCGCCGAGUCAGGCCUACUCGCCGAGUCCACUUUGAGACUCGCCGAGUCCAUGACUCAGAAACCAAAAAUUCGAAUUUUGCAGGUUUGUUUCAGUUAAUCAAGCAACAAUUUACAGAAAACCAAGCUAGGCUCUGAUACCACUGAUGGGUUUUAGCCAUAAGAACUUUCCUAUGUGCGCAUGCAAAACCCUAAUGCUUGGAUCUAGGCUUUCUAAUAAACAUGCUUUGAAUCCAAGACUUCUAAUUACUAAUUAGGUUAAACAAGAACAUUAAAACAGAUCUAGAAUCAUACCUUUGAGUUCCUUGUUGAUCUUGAGGUCUUGGAGCUUCUAGAGUCACAAAUGUCACUCCUCUAAUGGCUUACAAACACCAAAGCAAGGAGGAUGAUUUGGGAGAGAGGAGAGGGGAGGAAUUUCGACCAGAGGUUCCUUACUUUAGGUCAAGUGUCGAAUUCCAUCAGCCAUGGGGUCUAUUUAUACUUGUAGACUCCUUAAGGAUUACAGAUAAGUCCCUAUCAGAUAAUCUUCUCUUAAGGCUAUCCAAAUCCAUUCCUAGAUAACUCUAAUGGACGAUUUUAGCUAUCCUAAUCCUCUUAGAAUUCGUCCAUAGUAUAUCCAAAUGGAUUUACAGUUUAAAGCUUAACUAUCAAACAAUUGACAGUUUAUACCCCUUUAUUUAAUUAAUCUCUUUAAGUCACCAAAUUAAUUCUAAUUAAUUCUAUGACUUAUAUUAAUCAAAUAACAAAUAUAUUAUUCAUUAUAUUAUUCCCAUAAUAUAUUAAUAAUAUUUAUUCUCUCUUAAUAAAUCAUCCUAUCAAGUUGCUAUGGUGAAGGCAACCCAAAAGGACCAUGCACAACCGGAUAUAGUUACAGCCUUAGACACUAUUCCAACAGUCUCCCACUUGGAUAAGUCUAGUAACUAUACAAGUACAAUUCGGUUUGCAAUCGUAGCUCUCAAAGACGCUGUCAACUCUGAUCUAAUCAAUCUUGUCCUUUAGAUAAGGGAACGUACAGUCCUCUGUUAGAUAUCAUGCUGACAAUCCUAUGGAAUGGUUAGUCAAGCAUUUAGGUUUCUCGAUCUCUGAUUUAUUUGACAUAGAACUUAAUCGAACACAUCAAUUCAGUUCUGACCGGGCCCGGCACAUAAGUCAAAUCAAAUCAUCGAGCGGCCGAGAUAUCGCUUUUACCUUCUUAGAUAAAAGUUACAGAUAAACUUCGACUUAUAUGCAUUUACUUAUUCAUUAACCAACUAUACACAACAAUACGUUUUAUAACACCAAGUUACUGAUGCGUUUUCGUAUUAUCAAUGUACAAUCAAUUAACAAAUAAUAAACCAUAUAUCUAGGUUUUAAGACUAUAUGAUAUUAUCGUCUUGCGAUCACCUUUUAUAUCGUAUUCCAUAAGGUGAUUCCAGCAAGCGCGGGUUUAUUCCAAUGCUCAAAACUAGUUCAUAAGCACUCAUGAACGUUGCAGCAAUCCUUUGCUAUGUCUAACACCAUUUAGACAUUCUACACACCAAUUCAUGACAAUCUUCUUUCAUAUCUACUCCCAACAUAUGAACGAUUGUGGACCAUUUGAAUAAUUCGAUUAUUCCUAAUAAACUCAAUUAUUCUGGAAGUCAAAACAUGCAAAGUGAAACAAUAGCUAAACAAUUAACAUAAGAUAGUAACAUUACUCAUAAAUAAAACUCCUUUAUUUAAUCAUCAAAUGUCAAUUACAUUUAUCUAUUACACGUUUCUAAUACUAUCUAAUCUAUGCUAAUAUCAUCCUUCAGCCCAAUACUCCUAGCAUGCUGCAAGUGCUUAACCCUACUCAGUCCCUUCGUAAGCGGAUCUGCUGGGUUAUCUUCUGAUGAUAUCCUCUUCACUACGAGUUGUCCUUCUUCUACACGAUGUCUAAUGAAGUGAUACUUUCUGUCGAUAUGUCUUGAUCUACCAUGAUCCCUCGGUUCCUUGGUUAAGGCAACCGCACCUUCGUUAUCACAGAAAAUCUCCAUUGGCUCCUUUAUGGCAGGUACGACUCCAAGAUCACCGAUGAAGUUCUUUAGCCAUAUUGCCUCCUUCGACGCUUCGCUCGCUGCAAUGUACUCUGAUUCGCACGUUGAAUCAGCUACGGUUUCCUGCUUGGAACUCUUCCAUGUCACUGCUCCUCCAUUUAGGGUAAAGACCCAGCCCGACUGCGAACGGUAGUUGUCCCUGUCGGUCUGAAAACUGGCGUCACUAUACCCUCGCACCUUCAAGUCAUCACUCCCUCCGAGGACUAAGAACCAUUCCUUCGUCCUCCGAAGGUACUUAAGGAUAUUCUUCACCGCAAUCCAAUGUGCUUUGCCAGGAUUCCCUUGAUAUCUGCUAACCAUGCUCAAAGCGAAGGCUACAUCAGGGCGAGUACAAGUCAUAGCGUACAUGAUUGAGCCAACUGCGGAAGCGUAUGGUACUCGGCUCAUUUCUGCUAUCUCAGCUUCGGUACUCGGACUUUGAGUCUUACUCAAUUUGGCAUUACUUUGUAUCGGUAGUUCUCCCUUCUUUGAGUUUUCCAUACUAAAACGUUUUAGUACCUUCUCUAAGUAAGUAUUCUGACUAAGUCCAAUUAGUCUCUUACUUCUUUCUCUUACUAUCCUUAUUCCCAAAAUGUAAGAAGCCUCUCCGAGGUCCUUCAUAGCGAAGCACUUCCCGAGCCAGGACUUAACCUCCUGCAGAGUCGGGAUGUCGUUUCCUAUGAGUAAUAUGUCAUCGACAUAUAGAACGAGGAAGCUUACUAUACUCCCACUGGCUUUGACAUAUACACAAGAUUCGUCUUCGCUUCGUACAAAUCCAAACUCUUUGACUUUCUCAUCGAAGCAAAGAUUCCAUCUGCGAGACGCUUGCUUAAGUCCAUAAAUGGACUUCUCAAGCUUACACACUCUAUUCGGAUGCUUCGGAUCCACAAACCCCUCUGGCUGAGCCAUGUAAACAUCCUCAGCCAACUUUCCGUUAAGGAAAGCGGUCUUGACAUCCAUUUGCCAAAUCUCAUAAUCAUGAAAUGCGGCAAUUGCUAGCAUCACUCUAAUAGAUUUAAUCUUCGCAACUGGUGAGAAGGUCUCAUCAUAGUCAACUCCGGGAGUUUGAGUAAAGCCCUUCGCAACCAAUCGCGCUUUAUAUGUGUGUACGUUUCCAUCCACGUCGGUCUUCUUCUUGAAGAUCCAUUUGCACCCAACGGUCUUACGUCCGGGCACAUAAUCAACCAAAUUCCAAACUUGGUUAUCAUACAUGGAUUGGAUCUCGCUAUCCAUUGCCUCUUUCCAUUUUGCAGACUCCGGGCCUGCCAUGGCUUCCUUAUAGCUAUUAGGUUCAUCAAGAUUUAUUAGUGUACCAUCACUAAUAUACGUGUCCCCUUCGGUAGUAAUAUGAAAACCAUAAAACUGGGGUUGAACUCUAACUCUAUCGGAACGUCUAAGAGGUAAGGAUUCGUCAAUCGGUUCAACCGGAGUUUCCUCCUCGGGUUGAGUGCCAGCGGUAGAGGUUCCUUCAUCUAUCGACUCUUGAAUCUCUUCAAGCUCGAUUUGCCUCCCUGUUCACAUCUUGUGAGGUGUUUAGGAAACCUUCUUAGUAGGGACUCGGUUAAGGAUAUGGGUGGCAAUCUCUAAGGCAUACCCCCAAAAAGAGAUAGAUAGUGAAGCACGACUCAUCAUAGAGCAAACCAUAUCCAAUAAGGUUCGAUUACGCCUUUCUGCCACACCAUUCAACUACGGUGUCCUAGGAGGCGUCAAUUGUGAAACUAUUCCACACUCCUUGAGAUAAUCGUGGAAUUCAAGACUUAGGUACACUCCUCCUCGUUCGGAUCGAAGAAUCUUGUUUUUCUUGCCCAAUUGAUUCUCCACUUCAUUCUUGAACUCUUUGAACUGUUCAAACGUUUCUGACUUUUGCUUGAUUAAGUAGAUAUACCCAUAUCUACUACAGUCAUCGGUAAAAGUCACAUAAAAGUGGUUCCCAACCUUUGUGGUUGAUCUAAACGGUCCACAUACAUCGGUAUGUAUGAGGUCCAAUAGACCCUCACCCCUUUCACAUGUACUAGUGAAGGGUGACUUGGUCAUCUUUCCAAGUAAACAAGACUCGCAUGUGUCAUCUUCCCUAAGGUCGAAUGACUCCAACACUCCAUCCUUUUGGAGUUGGGCUAUGCGUUUCUUGUUGACAUGUCCAAGACGACAAUGCCACAAGGAUGCUUUAUCCAUACUAGUGGAAGAAUCAAUAUUCAAAACAUCAUUUCCUAAGUUAUCAACAAUCAUAACAGUUUCAUAUAUUCCAUUACAUGGUAUAGCUUCAAAGUAAAAGACACCAUUUAGAUAAGCCAAAAUAGAACCAUUCUCAUUAUUAAAAGAAAAUCUAAAACCUUGUCUAAACAAACCAUGAAAUGAAAUGAUGUUUCUAGCCAUUUCUGGCGAAUAGCAACAAUUGUUCAAAUCUAAACUUAAACCAUUCCUAAGCACUAAAGAAUAGACUCAAAUCUUGGUCACAGGUGGCAAUCUUCUGUUCCCCAUGAUUAGAUUUAUUCUUCCAGCCUCCACAUCCCUAUUUCUUCUUAGUCCCUGCACAUUAGAACAAAUGUGGUAACCACAACCGGUAUCAAGAACCCAAGAAAUAGCUUGAGAUGAAUCGUUAGAUUUAAUUGUGUAUAUACCUGCGAAAGAUGGCUUGAUCUUUCCUUCCUUGAUGGCUUGCAGGUACUCUGGGCAGCUUCUCUUCCAAUGUCCUAUCUUGUGGCAGUGGUGGCACUCUGCCUCCUUUGGGUUAGGGCAGGGCUUAGCAGGAUCAACUUUGGUCCCACUAGAAGAGGCACCAUCUCGGGCUUUAACCUUGCGAUAGUUCUUAGAUGAAGCCUUCCUCUUUUUUCCCUUUCCUUGUCCAAUAGCCAAGACAGGAGCAGCGGGUGGAUUGGGAGUUAGUGCAACAGACUUGUCCAUGAAGUUGCUCUCAACGGCCCUCAAGAGACCUUGGAGUUUGCUUAGGGUGACCUCUUCUUUGUUCAUGUGGUAGGUCAUCCUAAAUUUAUUGUAGCUCGGAGGCAAAGAGUGAAGCACCAUGUCGAUCGCCAGGUCUUCCCCAAAGUCAGCAUUCAACUUGCGAAGACGGUCGACAUACCUUUGCAUCUUUUGCAGGUGCACGGUAAGAGACUCUCCAUGACCCAUCUUAGCGGAAAUCAUGUUAGUGAAAAUCUCAUAACGCUCUUGUCUCGCGUUUUGGUGGUAUCUCUCCAAUAAGUCUUGAUGCAUCUCGUACGGGUACAUGUCCUCAUAGGACUUUUGGAAUUCGGAGUUCAUGGUGGCUAUCAUGAUGCAAUGUACCUUCGUUGCAUCUCGCUCAUGAGUUUCAAAAGCGGUCAUUUCAGCCGGAGUAGCGAUUUCAGGGUUGAUUUUCUCGAGCUUCUCAUCGAGGACAUACUCCUUGUCCUCAUAGCGAGCAAUGGUGCGAAUGUAUCUUAUCCAUUCGCUAAAGUUCGUUCCAUCGAAAGUGACCUUUUGACAAAGGCUCAUCAAUGUGAAAGAACUAGCAGCAGCGUUGUUUGCGUUCGACAUCUACAAAUAGAAAGGACAAAGAUAGAUUAGAAUAUGAAUCCCUAAUUAUCACCCAAUAAGAAAAAUUAGGGCUAGGAUCCAACAAC